Molecule: unclassified non-coding RNA, 209 nt
Filed under: Hevea brasiliensis (rubber tree)
Lineage: Eukaryota; Viridiplantae; Streptophyta; Magnoliopsida; Malpighiales; Euphorbiaceae
Source: RNAcentral
CAUCCUGCAAUCGGCAUCUGCGGCCUUCACGCCGACAUUUCAAGCCACCAUUCCGGACAUUCUUCCCGAUGAAGGCCAGUACACUCGGGCCUUGUCACUCUCUCGCCUCGCUUAUGACAUGGAAAGCCUUCUCAGUCCGAUGCUGGCUGCUGGGUUGUUGACGGUCAUCGGCUUUAACUGGCUCUUUCUUGGAACGGUUGUGGGGUUUU